RNAcentral lists this transfer RNA (69 nucleotides) under Ictidomys tridecemlineatus (thirteen-lined ground squirrel). RNAcentral describes it as "Spermophilus tridecemlineatus (thirteen-lined ground squirrel) tRNA". It matches the Rfam family "tRNA". Rfam says of the family: Transfer RNA (tRNA) molecules are approximately 80 nucleotides in length. Their secondary structure includes four short double-helical elements and three loops (D, anti-codon, and T loops). RNAcentral also lists the same sequence under 1 other name. Lineage: Eukaryota; Metazoa; Chordata; Mammalia; Rodentia; Sciuridae. The record is from Rfam by way of RNAcentral.
GGGGUUGUGGCUCAGUGGUAGAGCACUCGCCUGGCAUGGGCAAGGAACUGGGUUCGAUCCUCAGCACCA